AGUGAACGCUGGCGGUAGGCCUAACACAUGCGAGUCGAACGGCAGCACAGUAAGAGCUUGCUCUUACGGGUGGCGAGUGGCGGACGGGUGAGGAAUACAUCGGAAUCUACUUUUUCGUGGGGGAUAACGUAGGGAAACUUACGCUAAUACCGCAUACGACCUACGGGUGAAAGCAGGGGAUCUUCGGACCUUGCGCGAUUGAAUGAGCCGAUGUCGGAUUAGCUAGUUGGCGGGGUAAAGGCCCACCAAGGCGACGAUCCGUAGCUGGUCUGAGAGGAUGAUCAGCCACACUGGAACUGAGACACGGUCCAGACUCCUACGGGAGGCAGCAGUGGGGAAUAUUUGACAAUGGGCGCAAGCCUGAUCCAGCCAUACCGCGUGGGUGAAGAAGGCCUUCGGGUUGUAAAGCCCUUUUGUUGGGAAAGAAAAGCAGCAGGUUAAUACCCCGCUGUUCUGACGGUACCCAAAGAAUAAGCACCGGCUAACUUCGUG
RNAcentral lists this ribosomal RNA (492 nucleotides) under uncultured bacterium. Its description in RNAcentral is "partial 16S ribosomal RNA". It matches the Rfam family "Bacterial small subunit ribosomal RNA", at positions 29 to 507 of the family's 1533-position model. The record is from RNAcentral.